GGCAAGAAAGAUCUGUUUAUUUUUCACACAAAAGGGCUAAGAAGUUGUUAGUGGGGUUUUUUUUUCCAUUUUAAAACAUGGAUUUCUUUUUCUUCCACCUGAAGUCUGCACAGUAUUCCGCAGAGCAGCUGUCCACAGCAAGAAACUCAUCAUUCACUCUCUGAUCAGCACAUACACGUUACCCUCCUGCUAUUAUUUAGCUGAACAGUUUCAGUGUCUCGGGUGCCUUGUGGAAGUUGGGAAGGAAAAUCAAAGGUCACAAGGAAGAUGGAAAAAGGGAAGGGUGAGAGGACAUCUGAGAUGGAAACAGAGACAAAUGACUCUUCCCUUGAGGUAACAUCAGAUACAGGAGAAGCUCCCCUGUGCUGCACUGGAGUCCAACAGGUA
Haemorhous mexicanus (house finch) is the source of this 387-nucleotide long non-coding RNA. RefSeq lists it as uncharacterized. The record is from RefSeq and is a predicted model, not a curated record. NCBI's taxonomy places the organism in Eukaryota, Metazoa, Chordata, Aves, Passeriformes, Fringillidae. The transcript is spliced from 3 exons.